Molecule: unclassified non-coding RNA, 1175 nt
Filed under: Hevea brasiliensis (rubber tree)
Lineage: Eukaryota; Viridiplantae; Streptophyta; Magnoliopsida; Malpighiales; Euphorbiaceae
Source: RNAcentral
AGGAACUCGAAAAUUUAGUAAAACAAGUUGUCUCUAUUAAGCUUAGACGGAUGGCCUUAAACAGGCUGAUACAUAGUAAAUCGACAAUUACAACAAGAACCAAACGGACAAGUUGAACGUUAAAUGCUGAUACUAAAGUGAGAUCAACUUACAGAGUAAACGUUACGAGAUCAGAAGCUCUUCUUAGUGUCAUCUACUAACGAUUAGCUGGCUGCUCGCCUUGCCAAGCCCAAACAAUUUCCUCAAGAGCAGGUCUUAUAACUUGUUUCAGCAAUUUUUGGUACUCUACCUUAUCACCAUACGACUUUUUCAGCUCAACUAAGUGGAAGGACGGAGUAAUUUCAGAUAUUUCAGCAUCGAUGGACAAAGUCUCGUAUCUACCUUCACUCGAUCCCUCUAAUCUCAUAAAACCAGCUUCUUUCUUCAUUACUUCCAGCUUAAGAUUCCUCCCAACUUCCUCGAGUUUGGACAUGAUAGAAGAGGUAGGCUUUGCGGAAAUGAACUGCAAGUCUUCCUUCUGAUCCUUUGUUAUGAAUAAACCGGACAAGUCAAAUCCACUUGAAAGAGAGAUUAUAUCAAAUGCAUUUAGAUUUGUCGGUUUUAGCAACUCUAGCUUUGAAACUGAGGGAGAGAUACUGUUAUGUGUAGCGUUGGCGUCUAGGCUAAACUUUUCCUUUUCUUCUACUUUGGUUACCGUGUUUCUAGACUCGAAACCUUUCUUGAACCAUGAGCUUUCCUUUAUCUUUGCGAUGGAAAUCCUUGUACGAGGGUUUGGAUCAAGGAUUUUAGAAAGUAAUCUCCGCACCUCUGGAGGGAACCAAUUAGGACAUUUGAACUCAGCCUGCUUUAUCUUCCUAUAAAUCUCCAUAAGAUUUGAGUCUUGGAAUGGAAGAUAACCGGCUAGCAAAACAAAUAAGAUCACCCCACAAGACCAGAUAUCAGCUUUGGCGCCAUCAUAUCCUUUUCGACUAAUCACCUCAGGUGCAACGUAAGCUGGGGUUCCACAUGUUGUGUGGAGUAAGCCGUCCUGCCUCUUAGACUCAGCCAAGGCGCUUAAUCCAAAGUCUGAUACCUUAAGAUUUCCAUCCUCAUCUAGAAGCACAUUUUCUGGUUUCAGAUCACGGUGAUAAACAUCUCGACUGUGGCAACAUUCAACAGCGCUAAUCAAUUGCUGA